GGAAAUCUAUUCUCACUUGGUGGUUUGACCAGCUGCCACCUUUCUGUCAGCACUAUUUUACUCUUUUUGGAUUUGUUUAUGUAAAAUGUGUGUUUGGUGUGAAACUGCAGAUUCUCCUCCGAGGCCCACAUUACAAGUCUCAGGUGAUCAGAAUGAGCUGAAGGAGAAGGAGUCUGUCACUAUAACCUGCUCAGCUCCCACUCCCUGUCCACACCUCCCUCCUCGACUCACCUGGAGCCUCCAACAAGAUGCUCACAGCCAAACAGAGGAAAACACAGAUGGAACUUUAACCACUAAGAUCCAGCAGACCAUCACUCUGUCAGACCAACAUGAUGGAUUCAAGCUCAGCUGCUCUGCUGUGUAUCCUGUUGAUGGAGGACAACAUGUGAAAACAGCUGUGGCAGAGCUCACUCUCAGAGUUUCUUGUAAGUGAUCCUGUCAGCACAUCACAGUUCAGAUGUUUCUGAUCAAUCAAGUGAACAAGAGUCACUUUUUCUCCCUCAGAUGCUCCUAAAGACACGUCAGCCUCCAUCAGUCCAUCAGGUUUGGUGUCUGCAGGGAGCUGGGUGAACCUGACCUGCUCCAGCAGAGCCAGACCUGCUGUCAGAUACACCUGGUUCAAGAUCAGUGAUCAUGGAGCAGUCAGAGUGUCUGAAGGAGACUUUUACAGCUUUAAUGUGACGGAAGGAGGAGUUUAUUACUGUGUGGCUGCAAAUCAUCUGGGACGUCAGACUUCAGAACAGAUUCAUCUUUUGAGAGAAGCAGAUCUGCAUCUGAACACCAUGAUUGGAGUAGUUAUUGGGCUCAUCGUGUUCAUCUGCCUGCUGCUCGGUGUUUACUUCUUCAUGUGUUGGAGGAGAAGAAAGAACACAACUUCAACUGUGCAAGUGGGUCAGAGUCAGACAGGUGAAGAGCUGGCUGCUGAAGAGCCUGCAGAAAAACCUCAGGAAGAGGGAGAAAACGUCCACUAUGGAGAGAUCCACUUCUCCAAGCAGAAACCUGAACCGUCCUCCAAGUCUGAGAUCAGAAGCAAGCAGGAGAACACUGUGUACGCAGAGGUCAGAGGCUCUCAGCCGGGAAACAGCUCCACACACACUGCUGACCACCCCGAGGAUCUCAACUGUCUUUACGCUGAAGUGAAGGAGAAAUGAGAAUAUUCUGUUGGAUUUACUGAGGUGUGAAGUCAUAAAGUACAGAUACUUUACUACUGUACUUGAGGAGAUA
This 1224-nucleotide long non-coding RNA is filed under the name Salarias fasciatus (jewelled blenny). Its description in RNAcentral is "lncRNA (ENSSFAG00005023194.1)". The record is from RNAcentral. Lineage: Eukaryota; Metazoa; Chordata; Actinopteri; Blenniiformes; Blenniidae.